GCGAGGCCGAAAGGCGUAGUCGAUGGGAAACAGGUUAAUAUUCCUGUACUUGGUGUUACUGCGAAGGGGGGACGGAGAAGGCUAUGUUAGCCGGGCGACGGUUGUCCCGGUUUAAGCAUGUAGGCUGAUUGUCCAGGCAAAUCCGGAUAAUCAAGGCUGAGGUGUGAUGACGAGGCACUACGGUGCUGAAGUAACAAAUGCCCUGCUUCCAGGAAAAGCCUCUAAGCAUCAGGUAACAUCAAAUCGUACCCCAAACCGACACAGGUGGUCAGGUAGAGAAUACCAAGGCGCUUGAGAGAACUCGGGUGAAGGAACUAGGCAAAAUGGUGCCGUAACUUCGGGAGAAGGCACGCUGGUGUGUAGGUGAAGUCCCUGCG
This 377-nucleotide ribosomal RNA is filed under the name Klebsiella pneumoniae. RNAcentral's name for it is "partial 23S ribosomal RNA". It matches the Rfam family "Bacterial large subunit ribosomal RNA", at positions 1396 to 1772 of the family's 2925-position model. The record is from RNAcentral. Lineage: Bacteria; Pseudomonadati; Pseudomonadota; Gammaproteobacteria; Enterobacterales; Enterobacteriaceae.